CUACGGGCGGCAGCAGUCGAGAAUAGUCUACAAUGGAGGAAACUCUGAUAGUGCGACGCCGCGUGGACGAAGAAGCAUUUCGGUGUGUAAAGUCCUUUUCUUUGUGAGCAAUGGUUUGUAUUUUAAUAGAAUGCAGAACGAGAUAUUAGCAGAGGAAUAAGCUCCGGCUAACUCCGUGCCAGCAGCCGCGGUAACACGGGGGGAGCAAGCGUUGUCCGGAAUCACUAGGCGUAAAGGGUAAGUAGGCGGAAGCGAAAGUCAGAUGUUAAAGGCACCGGCUCAACCGAUGUACGGCAUUUGAAACUUCGUUUCUAGAGUAAGGUGGGGGAAGAUGGAAUUCCUGGUGUAGCGGUGGCAUGCGCAGAUAUCAGGAAGAACACCAGUGGCGAAGGCGAUCUUCUAUACCAUUACUGACGCUCAAUUACGAAGGUGUGGGUAUCGAACAGGAUUAGAUACCCGGGUAGUC
This 466-nucleotide ribosomal RNA is filed under the name uncultured bacterium. RNAcentral describes it as "partial 16S ribosomal RNA". It matches the Rfam family "Bacterial small subunit ribosomal RNA", at positions 339 to 795 of the family's 1533-position model. The record is from RNAcentral.